UUGCAAGUCUCCAGCAAUCUGGGUUUGGAGUAACCCUAUGUAUUUCUACAGUGCUUGCAAGAGCAGCUUUGAAAGGGUUUGAGGCCUUGCUCUACAAUAUCUGCAGAGCAAUGUUAUAGAAAUUUCAGACAUGC
Molecule: small nucleolar RNA, 134 nt
Organism: Echinops telfairi (small Madagascar hedgehog)
Lineage: Eukaryota; Metazoa; Chordata; Mammalia; Afrosoricida; Tenrecidae
Product: small nucleolar RNA SNORA9
Exons: 1
Source: RefSeq, a predicted model, not a curated record